Molecule: microRNA, 21 nt
Filed under: Macaca fascicularis (crab-eating macaque)
Lineage: Eukaryota; Metazoa; Chordata; Mammalia; Primates; Cercopithecidae
Description: novel_miR98-3p
Source: RNAcentral
CCAAGUCUUACUCUGUCACCG